AGGAACAAAAAGCAACGGCGGUUGCUGGAGUAAUGGCGAAUGAAUGGGCAAGUGCAUAUUCUCCCUGCCUGAAGGUGUUUGAAAGGUGGCCAAAGUGUGGCACUCAUGUGUUACACAAUCGACUGUUGUGAUCCAUCCCUUUGCUGUGGGCUGUGAGGCCCCUGGCUGUGCCUGGUCCUGGUUGUGCUGCACCAAGAAUGAGGUCCUUGGAAGGGGACACCACAGAAAGAGACUGUCUUGUAUGCCCUGUCAGUGUGUGGCACCAGGCUGGGUGUGGCUGGGUUGGCACUCAGGAGUAGAGUUGCUUGAGACUGCAGUUUGAAGUGCAAUGUGUAUCCAUUGCAAGGAAAGGUAUCUGCCAUGGGAACCGAUAGAGCACAAGUACCUCGAAGGAAGGAUGCAAAGGACUCUGCAAAGAGGGUUCAAAGUCCCUGAAGCCUCAGCAGGAUACGGUGGUGAGUGGUGCUGUGGAGCCAUGUGUGAACACCUCCACACCCCAACAAACAGAGGGUUCAGAAUGCCAGAUUCAGAUGCCAGAUUCUUCAGAGUCAGUCAGCACAGAACAGAAAAGGGUGUAGCCAACAGAGCAGAGCAGAUCACAUCAUGGAGCCAAAGCAGUUUUGAGUCAGCCCUGGACUGGCCAUCAGAGCCCCAUUUCUCUCCGGAGAGUGGGAUGAGUUUGGGGUUUGUGUGGUGGUGUGGCAUAACCACCCCUGUGGGUGUGCCAUCAUCCCACCUGCCCUUUUCAUGGCAGUCCCAGGUGGAAGAUCGCCCGUCUGGACUUGAGAUUCCCUGUUGUGUCAGAGAACAGAAAGUGAGAGCAUAUCACAUCCAUUUGCCCGUCAGAGAUCAGAGUUUGGCCAGGCUUGGACAAUGCAGGUGAAGUGCUUCACCCUCCCACAAGGAGGGCUGAAGGAGAGGCUGGGGCCCCUUGGUGCCUGCUGCACCAUUCUGCUGGUGGUUUGCCCAGGGGGAUGUGCUCAUAUCCCACCCCAGCCUCCCUGAACAGGUUUGGUUGAUCAGCACAGGAAAAGGCAGAGAGACUUGGCCAGAGGAACAUUCAGCAAAGGCCACUCACUGCCCGUCUUGAAACACGGACCAAGGAGUCUAUGGAGCUUGCAGAUUGGAAGGUGUCUCUUCUUCACAGCAGUUGGCAAAACCACAGGAUGUGGUGAAGGCAAAGGUUGUGUGUGCCAUCUCCUCAGCACACACCAGGCCCAGAUGGGGUUAAGCUGCUUGUCCCCCCUGCCUGGGCCACCAGAUUCAGAUCCUUCAGGACAGAGUUUUGAGUGGGUGUGAGGUCCAUGGGACCCGAAAGGUGGUGAACUAUACCAUUCCAUGAUGAAGCCAUGGGAAACUGUGGUGGAAGUCAGCAGCUGUUCUGACGUGCAAAUUGUGUAGCCUGAGUGUGGCAUAGGGGUGAAAGGCCAAUCGAACCACCUAGUAGC
RNAcentral lists this ribosomal RNA (1448 nucleotides) under Trachelomonas grandis. Its description in RNAcentral is "partial large subunit ribosomal RNA". It matches the Rfam family "Eukaryotic large subunit ribosomal RNA", at positions 54 to 951 of the family's 3401-position model. The record is from RNAcentral. Lineage: Eukaryota; Euglenozoa; Euglenophyceae; Euglenales; Euglenaceae.